Molecule: ribosomal RNA, 253 nt
Filed under: uncultured bacterium
Lineage: Bacteria
Description: partial 16S ribosomal RNA
Rfam family: Bacterial small subunit ribosomal RNA
Source: RNAcentral
UACGGAGGGUGCGAGCGUUAAUCGGAAUUACUGGGCGUAAAGGGUGCGUAGGUGGUUGAUUAAGUUAUCUGUGAAAUUCCUGGGCUUAACCUGGGACGGUCAGAUAAUACUGGUUGACUCGAGUAUGGGAGAGGGUAGUGGAAUUUCCGGUGUAGCGGUGAAAUGCGUAGAGAUCGGAAGGAACACCAGUGGCGAAGGCGGCUACCUGGCCUAAUACUGACACUGAGGCACGAAAGCGUGGGGAGCAAACAGG